This 522-nucleotide ribosomal RNA is filed under the name uncultured Pleosporales. RNAcentral's name for it is "eukaryotic LSU rRNA". The stretch from base 152 to 305 matches the Rfam family "5.8S ribosomal RNA". The record is from RNAcentral. Lineage: Eukaryota; Fungi; Ascomycota; Dothideomycetes; Pleosporales.
AAUUGAAGGCUUCGGCUGGAUUAUUUUUAUCACCCUUGUCUUUUGCGCACUUGUUGUUUCCUGGGCGGGUUCGCCCGCCACCAGGACCACACCAUAAACCUUUUUUAUGCAGUUGCAAUCAGCGUCAGUAUAACAAAUGUAAAUCAUUUACAACUUUCAACAACGGAUCUCUUGGUUCUGGCAUCGAUGAAGAACGCAGCGAAAUGCGAUAAGUAGUGUGAAUUGCAGAAUUCAGUGAAUCAUCGAAUCUUUGAACGCACAUUGCGCCCCUUGGUAUUCCAUGGGGCAUGCCUGUUCGAGCGUCAUCUAAACCCUCAAGCCCCAUGGCUUGGUGUUGGGUGUCUGUCCCUGCUCCCCGCGCGGACUCGCCCCAAAUGCAUUGGCAGCGGCCUCCACGCUUCUCGCGCAGCACAUUGCGUAGUGGAGCACGGCUAGGCACGCGUCCAGCAAGCAACCCCCCAAGUUUGACCUCGGAUCAGGUAGGGACACCCGCUGAACUUAAGCAUAUCAAUAAGCGGAGGA